Molecule: ribosomal RNA, 501 nt
Filed under: uncultured bacterium
Lineage: Bacteria
Description: partial 16S ribosomal RNA
Rfam family: Bacterial small subunit ribosomal RNA
Source: RNAcentral
AUUGAACGCUGGCGGCAGGCUUAACACAUGCAAGUCGAGCGGGGUGAUGGUGCUUGCACUAUCACUUAGCGGCGGACGGGUGAGUAUGCUUAGGAAUCUGCCUAUUAGUGGGGGACAACAUCUCGAAAGGGAUGCUAAUACCGCAUACGUCCUACGGGAGAAAGCAGGGAUCACUUGUGACCUUGCGCUAAUAGAUGAGCCUAAGUCGGAUUAGCUAGUUGGUGGGGUAAAGGCCUACCAAGGCGACGAUCUGUAGCGGGUCUGAGAGGAUGAUCCGCCACACUGGGACUGAGACGCGGCCCAGACUCCUACGGGAGGCAGCAGUGGGGAAUAUUGGACAAUGGGGGGAACCCUGAUCCAGCCAUGCCGCGUGUGUGAAGAAGGCCUUAUGGUUGUAAAGCACUUUAAGCGAGGAGGAGGCUCUUUUGGUUAAUACCCAAGAUGAGUGGACGUUACUCGCAGAAUAAGCACCGGCUAACUCUGUUCCAGCAGCCGCCGUAA